CAACAUCAUGACUUUCAUGCCAAUUCAUAGUGCAACAUCAUCAUCAUCGUUUAAAGGUGUCAAAAUACAGCAUUAUCCUAUGUGAGGUGUAGUGAAAACGUUUAUCACAAUUUUCAACAGAAUCACAACCUGGUCUUACGCGAUGCCCUUGUCCUCAGGAAACGCUCACAAAGUUCAUGCAAACAAGGUAAACAUGGACACCCAAUCCCAAAACAUCACCACAUUUCUGAACAAUGCCGAAUCCCGACUCUUCCCGUCAACCCCACCGCUCCAAAACUCGUCCCUCAUCUUCAUCGGUUCGAUCCAAGCCUCGCCCUAAAGACAGAGUUCCGCUCACCAAGCUACUCCGAGUAGCGUCAGUUGCCGGUGGGAUUCAGUUCGGAUGGGCUUUGCAGUUAUCUCUUCUAACGCCCUAUGUUCAGCAGCUCGGAAUCCCGCAUGCGUGGGCCAGUAUUAUAUGGCUCUGCGGCCCGCUUUCGGGGCUUAUCGUUCAGCCGUUGGUUGGCCAUUUGAGUGAUCGCUGCACCAGUCGAUUCGGCCGGAGGAGACCGUUUAUCUUAGGCGGAGCUAUUUCGAUUGCUUUGUCUGUUCUCAUCAUUGGUCACGCUGCGGAUUUGGGAUGGAAGUUUGGUGAUACCAAGGAACAUCGGCGGUCCGCCGUCGCCUUUUUCGUGUUCGGGUUUUGGAUUUUGGAUGUUGCUAAUAAUGUCACUCAAGGUCCUUGUAGAGCAUUGCUCGGUGAUCUCACCGGUAAGGAUCAUCGAAGGACACGAGUCGCAAAUGCUUAUUUUUCCCUAUUUAUGGCUAUCGGUAACAUUCUUGGAUAUGCAACUGGAUCAUACAGUGGUUGGUACAGGGUCUUUCCUUUCACACUUACCCCUGCAUGCAAUAUUAGUUGUGCAAAUCUCAAGUCUGCUUUCUUUCUGGACAUUGUUUUCAUGCUCAUCACCACCUAUAUCAGUAUCACGUCAGCUAAUGAAGUGCCUCUUGGGUCAAGUGGGGAACCCGAUGCUGAAGCAGAAGGGGAGUCAGGUGGUAGUGCGGAAGAAGCUUUUUUAUGGGAACUAUUUGGGACAUUCAAAUAUUUUUCAAAGCCUAUAUGGAUAGUAUUGUCUGUUACUGCUCUAACAUGGGUUGGAUGGUUCCCAUUUCUUCUAUUCGAUACUGAUUGGAUGGGCCGAGAAAUUUAUGGCGGUGAGCCAAAUGAAGGCACUAAUUAUGAUUCCGGAGUUAGAAUGGGGGCACUUGGUUUAUUGCUUAAUUCAGUUGUUCUUGGAGUAACAUCAUUACUCAUGGAGAAGCUAUGCAGGAAGCGGGGGGCUGGGUUUGUGUGGGGAAUCGCAAAUAUCCUAAUGGCAGUCUGCUUUAUAGCAAUGCUUGUUUUAACCUAUGUGGCAAAUGACAUUGGUUAUUUAGGAAAAGAUCUACCACCCACUAGCAUCGUGAUAGCUGCACUGACAAUCUUUACCGUUCUCGGGUUUCCAUUGGCAAUCACUUACAGUGUUCCAUAUGCCUUAAUUUCCACACAUAUUCAGCCAUUGGGGCUCGGCCAAGGAUUGUCAAUGGGAGUUCUAAAUCUUGCAAUAGUGUUCCCACAGAUGAUAGUGUCCUUAGGAAGUGGACCAUGGGAUCAGUUAUUUGGCGGAGGAAACUCUCCGGCGUUUGCUGUGGCAGCUAUUGCAGCUCUUGUCAGUGGAGGCAUAGCUGUCUUUGCUAUUCCCCGAACUGGUUCUCAAAAGCCUAGAAACCCAGUAUGAGGUAUCAUGUUCGAUCUGCUUUUGCCACCGAUUUCUUUUGAAGAUGGAUUAUGAAAUUGAACAGAUUUUACUACUUUCUCAUGUCAAUGGAGAAAAUCUCUUUUCUGGCGGAAGCAUCCAACCUCAUUUUAGCUGUGGAAAAGAUUUAGCUGGAGGGUACACAAUAAGCGAAUCUGUGGGAGCUACCAGAGGAGCAUUAUUGUUGCUAGUGCCAAUUUUUACCGUCUUUUCUGCAAUAGGAUGACCUGUUUUAAGAUACAUUAUAUAUUUGACAAAUAUACUUUUUUUAGAUAGACCACCACAGUAAAUCCGAACUCCAUGAUUACAUGAUCUCGAGUUUUUAUCUGUUUAUAAAAAAAAUUGAAUCAAAUCCUUUGGGUGGGAUAUAUCUGGAACAUCCUGAGCAGCAUUUCGAGACGGGUUAUUUUCGAAUUGAUAUAGUAGUAUUAUUAAUCCAUUCAUUGGAACAAGAGUUUGUUUAAAAAUUGUCCAUUGUCAGAACUUGUGAUGCUCUGGUUUAUUUUCAGAGCAUUGGGUUCCCCUGUAUGAUACAUAUCUUUCAUUUA
Molecule: RNA transcript, 2323 nt
Organism: Lathyrus oleraceus (garden pea)
Lineage: Eukaryota; Viridiplantae; Streptophyta; Magnoliopsida; Fabales; Fabaceae
Gene name: sucrose transport protein SUC4
Exons: 6
Source: RefSeq, a predicted model, not a curated record